ACGGGUGAGUAAUACGUAGGAAUUUACCUAAUGGAGUGGGAUAACCUAGGGAAACUUAGGGUAAUACCGCAUAAGCCUUACGAGGUAAAGCAGGGGACUUUCGGGCCUUGCGCUAUUAGAUGAGCCUACGUCGGAUUAGCUAGUUGGUGGGGUAAAGGCCUACCAAGGCGACGAUCCGUAGCUGGUUUGAGAGGACGACCAGCCACACUGGGACUGAGACACGGCCCAGACUCCUACGGGAGGCAGCAGUGGGGAAUAUUGGACAAUGGGCGCAAGCCUGACCCAGCAAUGCCGCGUGUGUGAAGAAGGCCUGCGGGUUGUAAAGCACUUUCGGUGGGGAGGAGAGGCUCUAGGCUAAUAUCCUAGAGCGGAGACGUUACCCACAGAAGAAGCACCGGCUAACUCUGUGCCAGCAGCCGCGGUAAUACAGAGGGUGCAAGCGUUAAUCGGAAUUACUGGGCGUAAAGGGUGCGUAGGUGGUUUGAUAAGUUAGGUGUGAAAGUCCUGGGCUUAACCUGGGGACUGCGCCUAAUACUGUUAAGCUAGAGUAUUGUAGAGGAAGGUGGAAUUUCCAGUGUAGCGGU
This 584-nucleotide ribosomal RNA is filed under the name uncultured bacterium. Its description in RNAcentral is "bacterial SSU rRNA". It matches the Rfam family "Bacterial small subunit ribosomal RNA", at positions 102 to 682 of the family's 1533-position model. The record is from RNAcentral.